Long non-coding RNA from Pristis pectinata (smalltooth sawfish), 913 nucleotides. RefSeq lists it as uncharacterized. Lineage: Eukaryota; Metazoa; Chordata; Chondrichthyes; Rhinopristiformes; Pristidae. The record is from RefSeq and is a predicted model, not a curated record. The transcript is spliced from 3 exons.
CCGGUCAAUCAGCGGGGAGAACGCCUACCCGCAAGGUUAGGUUGUCCCCCGCGGGCGCAGGGCCGAUUAGCGCCGAUUUGCCUUUGGCACCAAUUUCAGGACGAGCGCAGGGCAGCAAGAUCCAACGCAGAUCCCGGCGGGAAAGGCAGGGCUGUAAAUCUCCACAGAACUGAAUGAGCUGGGAGAUCUAACCAGGCACAGAAUCUGUGAGCAUUUUCCCUAUUAAGCUGAGCCAGGCUCGAUAUUGCCUGGUUGUCAGUGCAAUCAAAGCUGACGUGCUGGGUUACCCUCCACCCAAACUGCAAGCCUGUCCAGUGCAAGCAUUCUCCAGCCAAGGAAUCGCACUGCAUUAGCAGCAUUCUAAAUGAUGCUUGCCUUCCAAGUCUCCACAACUUGAGCUCCCCAUGCAGCUGAUAAUGUGUCUCCAAUCACUGGAAUGGUGGUCACCCAGCGAGCUGCUUUAAGAAAACAAUUACAGUUAUCAAAAAUGAAAGAAAUGGUACUUAAGUGCUUUAGUUUUCCUUCAGGCAUUGAAAGUGCUUAACACCUCAAUCAAUAUUAUAAACCUUUACAAUCAUUUCAAAGAUUAUUUGUCCUCGAGGUUCUUGCCAGCUGCUUAUUCUUUGAAUUCAGUUGUCAUUCCACCCUCCUGUUCUCUCCAAUGCUUUUGGUAGACAUUAUUAUUUUGUUUUGGCUUUUGAUAUUGACUGGUUAAGUGGUUUGCCAAUAGUGUACUAUGGUUGUAUCUUUGCCAGAAGACUCAAUAUGCUAACUGGCCUUACUCUUACCAUGUCAUAUAUCUGGAAAAUCUUUCAGACAGCAUCAUCUGCAACUUUGUGUUGAACUAAGACUGUGUACGAUUAUAAUGCUUUAUCUUAGUGGCUAGUAUACUUUGAUGAACACAAAUGUAAAA